UACGGAGGAUCCAAGCGUUGUCCGGAUUUACUGGGUUUAAAGGGUGCGUAGGUGGAUCAGUAAGUCAGUGGUGAAAGCCACCCGCUUAACGGGUGAAUUGCCAUUGAUACUAUUGGUCUUGAGUACGGUUGAAGUGGGCGGAAUGUAUCGUGUAGCGGUGAAAUGCUUAGAUAUGAUACAGAACACCAAUUGCGAAGGCAGCUCACUAAGCCGUUACUGACACUGAUGCACGAAAGCGUGGGGAUCGACAGGAUUAGAUACCCGUGUAGU
This 270-nucleotide ribosomal RNA is filed under the name uncultured bacterium. Its description in RNAcentral is "partial 16S ribosomal RNA". It matches the Rfam family "Bacterial small subunit ribosomal RNA", at positions 524 to 794 of the family's 1533-position model. The record is from RNAcentral.